UCCGGUUUGGCACCGGCAGUCCUCCCAGAGUCCCCGACUUGACUCGCUGGCAACUGGGAGCGGGGGUUGCGCUCGUUGCGCCACUUAAGGCAACACCUCACGGCACGAGCUGACGACGGCCAUGCAGCACCUCGGCUGGCUCCCUUGCGGGUCGCCCAGUAUUUCUACCGGACUACCACCAGUCGUUCGAGCCCAGGUAAGGUUCUUCGCGUAGCGUCGAAUUAAACCACAUGCUCCACCGCUUGUGCGGGCCCCCGUCAAUUCCUUUGAGUUUUAACCUUGCGGCCGUACUCCCCAGGCGGGCAACUUAAAGCGUUAGCGACGACACGGAAGGGGUCGAUACCUCCCACAUCUAGUUGCCAUCGUUUACAGCCGGGACUAC
RNAcentral lists this unclassified non-coding RNA (382 nucleotides) under uncultured Elusimicrobia bacterium. RNAcentral's name for it is "contains 16S-23S intergenic spacer region". Lineage: Bacteria; Pseudomonadati; Elusimicrobiota; Elusimicrobia. The record is from RNAcentral.